This is a non-coding RNA of Xyrichtys novacula (pearly razorfish), 904 nucleotides long. Lineage: Eukaryota; Metazoa; Chordata; Actinopteri; Labriformes; Labridae. The record is from the annotation of a GenBank genome assembly.
GCCAAAACCAGCGAAGAAGAAGAAGAAGACCUCAGUAAUACGGACGCUGGUGAAGGCUUCAAUCCACGAACAUCUUUGCUCUUUGUUUGUAUGGUUCGUAUGUGUGAAUAAAUGUUCAGUGUGGAAAUCCCUCCACUUCAUCUCCCGCCUCGAAACUUAAUAUCAUACCGGAGCUAGGCUAAUAGCAUCCGCGGCUAAGCGUCCCUCCAACUCCACGGUACAAAUCCCUGAAGGAGAGGAGCGGAGAUGGGCUGCAAGCUGGAGAAAUGCUGACGUGUCCUUUCAUUCUUUUACACUGAUCUGAGCGUCACAACAUAUAAAUUAACUGUGUGAGUGUGAUGGAGUUUGGCAGCAACAAACUGACAGCUUUUCUCCUCAUACCGCUGUUUCAUCUUCCUCUACUUCCCUUUUGGCGGUAAAACUUGCUUCACAUUACCGCUAAACAUGUUUCACUCUGCUCAAGGCCACUUACUGGUGGCGAAAAGGGUUUAUUUUGGUAUAUUGUAAGAAAUAAAUUAACUCAGAGUGUGAUGGAGUUUGGCAGCAACAAACUGACAGCUUUUCUUGUCAAUUUUCAGUUCAGAAAUCGGUACAUAAAGUUCAGCCAUCAAAACAGCAGCAGAGUGAGACGUCUUCCUUUUCCUCAUAGCACUGUCAUUACUCAUCGGCGCCCUCCGGUGGCCAAAACUGUAACUGCAUAUGGAUUAAUGAAGUUUGUGAUGAGACGCUAAGGAGCAGGAGUCAGAGUGACAUUUCUGCACCCUUUUGAGGACGACCCGUGAAGAGAGGCUGAUUAUGGCGAUGGAAAAACAAAAGAUGGACAAUCGAGAAACAAACUAAACUCUGUCUGAACAAACACAGAAUCUCUUUGAUAGUUUUAUAUGCAGGAGAUGAUGAAGAUGGG